Molecule: long non-coding RNA, 213 nt
Filed under: Lathyrus oleraceus (garden pea)
Lineage: Eukaryota; Viridiplantae; Streptophyta; Magnoliopsida; Fabales; Fabaceae
Description: Pisum sativum (pea) long non-coding RNA (PSAT_LNC024176)
Source: RNAcentral
AAUAUUUGAGGGAGUCUAAUGUAACUGCUCAACCACGUUGAAUUCACUCCUCUUGAUCAGUCGGAGUACCUCAUCAUCAUCACUAUUGGCUUUCAAAUUGCUGGAUUCACCAGACUUAUCUCUUGAACAACCCACAGGAUUUAAACUAGGCACCUCUGCUUUCUUACCAACAAUCAAUUCUUCCUUACUCCCAGGGACAACUGGCCCAAAAAC